GGACCCAUGGCGCAACGGUAGCGCGUCAGAUUCCAGUACUCAUGGUAUCUCCUGAAGGUUAGGCGUUCGAAUCGCCUUGGGUUCA
Transfer RNA from Cordyceps militaris CM01, 85 nucleotides. It matches the Rfam family "tRNA". Rfam says of the family: Transfer RNA (tRNA) molecules are approximately 80 nucleotides in length. Their secondary structure includes four short double-helical elements and three loops (D, anti-codon, and T loops). Further hydrogen bonds mediate the characteristic L-shaped molecular structure. tRNAs have two regions of fundamental functional importance: the anti-codon, which is responsible for specific mRNA codon recognition, and the 3' end, to which the tRNAs corresponding amino acid is attached (by aminoacyl-tRNA synthetases). tRNAs cope with the degeneracy of the genetic code in two manners: having more than one tRNA (with a specific anti-codon) for a particular amino acid; and 'wobble' base-pairing, i.e. permitting non-standard base-pairing at the 3rd anti-codon position. NCBI's taxonomy places the organism in Eukaryota, Fungi, Ascomycota, Sordariomycetes, Hypocreales, Cordycipitaceae. The record is from Rfam.